GAAACAGUGGCUAAGACUGGAUAGGAAGAUAAAAGGCAUCUUUUAUCUUUUAAAAGACCUAGUAAUAGGUAUGCUUUAGGAGGGGCUUGCGCCAUAUUAGUUAGUUGGUAGGGUAAUGGCCUACCAAGACGAUGAUGUGUAGCUGGACUGAGAGGUUGAACAGCCACAUUGGGACUGAGACACGGCCCAAACUCCUACGGGAGGCAGCAGUAGGGAAUUUUCGGCAAUGGAGGAAACUCUGACCGAGCAACGCCGCGUGAAUGACGAAGUACUUCGGUAUGUAAAGUUCUUUUAUCAAGGAAGAAAAGCAAAUGGCGAACCAUUUGUUUGCCGGUACUUGAUGAAUAAGCCCCGGCUAAUUAUGUGCCAGCAGCCGCGGUAAGACAUAAGGGGCAAGUGUUAUCCGGAAUUAUUGGGCGUAAAGGGUGCGUAGGCGGUCUAGUAAGUCAGUGGUGUAAUGGCAACGCUUAACGUUGUCCGGCUAUUGAAACUGCUAAACUUGAGUUAGAUAGAGGCGAGUGGAAUUCCAUGUGUAGCGGUAAAAUGCGUAAAUAUAUGGAGGAACACCAGAGGCGUAGGCGGCUCGCUGGGUCUUAACUGACGCUGAGGCACGAAAGCGUGGGGAGCAAACAGGAUUAGAUACCCUGGUAGUCCACGCCGUAAACGAUGAGUACUAAGUGUCGGGUUAAACCGGUACUGAAGUUAACACAUUAAGUACUCCGCCUGAGUAGUACGUACGCAAGUAUGAAACUUAAAGGAAUUGACGGGACUCCGCACAAGCGGUGGAUCAUGUUGUUUAAUUCGAAGAUACCCGAAAAACCUUACCAGGUCUUGACAUGUUUUUGCAAAAUGAUAGUAAUAUCGUGGAGGUUACCAGAAACACAGGUGGUGCAUGGUUGUCGUCAGCUCGUGUCGUGAGAUGUUAGGUUAAGUCCUAAAACGAGCGAAACCCUUAUCGUUAGUUGCCAGCACGUUAUGGUGGGGACUUUAACGAGACUGCCAAUGAUAAAUUGGAGGAAAGGUGAGGAUCACGUCAAAUCAGCAUGCCCCUUAUGACCUGGGCUACAAACGUGAUACAAUGGCUGUUACAAAGGGUAGCUGAAACGCAAGUUCUUGGCCAAUCCCCAAAAACAGUCCCAGUCCGGAUUGAAGUCUGCAACUCGACUUCAUGAAGUUGGAAUCGCUAGUAAUCGCGAAUCAGCAUGUCGCGGUGAAUACGUUCUCGGGGUUUGUACACACCGCCCGUCA
Molecule: ribosomal RNA, 1248 nt
Filed under: Alfalfa witches'-broom phytoplasma
Lineage: Bacteria; Bacillati; Mycoplasmatota; Mollicutes; Acholeplasmatales; Acholeplasmataceae
Description: bacterial SSU rRNA
Rfam family: Bacterial small subunit ribosomal RNA
Source: RNAcentral